This 253-nucleotide ribosomal RNA is filed under the name uncultured bacterium. RNAcentral describes it as "partial 16S ribosomal RNA". It matches the Rfam family "Bacterial small subunit ribosomal RNA", at positions 524 to 776 of the family's 1533-position model. The record is from RNAcentral.
UACGUAGGGGGCAAGCGUUGUCCGGAUUUAUUGGGCGUAAAGCGCACGCAGGCGGUCUCUUAAGUUUUGAGUGACAGGUGGUGGCUCAACUACCACAGGCCUUGGAAAACUGGGAGACUUGAGGACUUCAGAGGGAUGCGGAAUUCCAGGUGGAGCGGUGAAAUGCGUAGAUAUCAGGAGGAACACCCGUAGCGAAGGCGGCACUCUGGGCCGGAACUGACGCUGAGGAGCGAAAGCGUGGGGAGCGAACAGG